Molecule: ribosomal RNA, 468 nt
Filed under: uncultured bacterium
Lineage: Bacteria
Description: partial 16S ribosomal RNA
Rfam family: Bacterial small subunit ribosomal RNA
Source: RNAcentral
GACGAACGCUGGCGGCGUGCUUAACACAUGCAAGUCGAACGGAAAGGCCCUGCUUUUGUGGGGUGCUCGAGUGGCGAACGGGUGAGUAACACGUGAGUAACCUGCCCUUGACUUUGGGAUAACUUCAGGAAACUGGGGCUAAUACCGGAUAGGAGCUCCUGCUGCAUGGUGGGGGUUGGAAAGUUUCGGCGGUUGGGGAUGGACUCGCGGCUUAUCAGCUUGUUGGUGGGGUAGUGGCUUACCAAGGCUUUGACGGGUAGCCGGCCUGAGAGGGUGACCGGCAACAUUGGGACUGAGAGACGGCCCAGACGCCUACGGGAGGCAACAGUGGGGAAUAUGACACAGUGGGCGGAAGCCUGAUGCAGCAACGCCGCGUGCGGGAUGACGGCCUUCGGGUUGUAAACCGCUUUCGCCUGUGACGAAGCGUGAGUGACGGUAAUGGGUAAAGAAGCACCGGCUAACUACGUG